This 251-nucleotide ribosomal RNA is filed under the name uncultured prokaryote. Its description in RNAcentral is "partial 16S rRNA". It matches the Rfam family "Bacterial small subunit ribosomal RNA", at positions 525 to 775 of the family's 1533-position model. The record is from RNAcentral.
ACGUAAGGGGCGAGCGUUGUUCGGAAUUAUUGGGUGUAAAGGGUGCGUAGGCGGUUUGACAAGUCUGGUGUUGAAGGCUACAGCUUAACUGUGGUUUGGCGCUGGAAACUGUCAGACUUGAGUUUAGGAGGGGGAGCUGGAAUUCCAGGUGUAGGGGUUAAAUCUGUAGAUAUCUGGAAGAACACCGGUGGCGAAGGCGAGCUCCUAUCCAUAGACUGACGCUGAGGCACGAAAGCGUGGGGAGCGAACAG